AGUGGGGAAUANNNNNCAAUGGGGGAAACCCUGAUGCAGCCAUGCCGCGUGUGUGAAGAAGGCCUUCGGGUUGUAAAGCACUUUCAGUAGGGAGGAAAGGUAGCAGUUUAAUACGCUGUUACUGUGACGUUACCUACAGAAGAAGGACCGGCUAACUCCGUGCCAGCAGCCGCGGUAAUACGGAGGGUCCGAGCGUUAAUCGGAAUUACUGGGCGUAAAGCGUGCGCAGGCGGUUUGUUAAGCGAGAUGUGAAAGCCCCGGGCUCAACCUGGGAAUUGCAUUUCGAACUGGCAAACUGGAGUCUUGUAGAGGGGGGUAGAAUUCCAGGUGUAGCGGUGAAAUGCGUAGAGAUCUGGAGGAAUACCGGUGGCGAAGGCGGCCCCCUGGACAAAGACUGACGCUCAGGCACGAAAGCGUGGGGAGCAAACAGGAUUAGAUACCCUGGUAGUCCACGCCGUAAACGAUGUCUACUCGGAGUUUGGUGUCUUGAACACUGGGCUCUCGAGCUAACGCAUUAAGUAGACCGCCUGGGGNNNNNNGCCGCAAGGUUA
This 551-nucleotide ribosomal RNA is filed under the name uncultured bacterium. Its description in RNAcentral is "bacterial SSU rRNA". It matches the Rfam family "Bacterial small subunit ribosomal RNA", at positions 353 to 896 of the family's 1533-position model. The record is from RNAcentral.